CUCCCCCUAGUCAGUUGCAACAAGGUUAAUUUGGAAAGGAUCCCUUCUCUUGCAGAUACCUUUGUUCCACAAAUUACUUUUAUUUUGAAAGAAGCCAAGUUACCAACACUUACUUGAUUAACAAAAGAGCUGGCUUGCAGCAUUUGCAGUGAGAGAUUAUCUUUGCCUGCAACACAGAGGUACCUAAGGGAUACUCCUUCCACGGGGAGACAGUGAGGACUGGAGAUGCUGGAUAUCAGAGUUGAAAAGCCUGGCACUGGAAAAGCACAGAAGGUCAGGCAGCAUCCGAGAAGCAGGAGAAAUGACAUCCCUUCAUCAACUGGGAUAUUCACAGUCACCAAUUCUUGAAUCCAAGCAAGACAAAUAAGUUAGAAGAUUCUUUUCACAUGGAGAAUUGUCAGUUACACAGACAAGAGAACUCAAUCUCACUUGUCUCUGCCAAUGGAGUUGAUACAUAUUUUUAAAAUCU
Molecule: non-coding RNA, 469 nt
Organism: Chiloscyllium plagiosum (whitespotted bambooshark)
Lineage: Eukaryota; Metazoa; Chordata; Chondrichthyes; Orectolobiformes; Hemiscylliidae
Source: RefSeq, a predicted model, not a curated record